RNAcentral lists this long non-coding RNA (239 nucleotides) under Pan troglodytes (chimpanzee). Its description in RNAcentral is "long non-coding RNA NONPTRT012701". The record is from RNAcentral. Lineage: Eukaryota; Metazoa; Chordata; Mammalia; Primates; Hominidae.
AAAGUGCUGUAAUAGUUAACCAUCAUAAUGACUUGGUGCCCAUGCUUGCAAAACUCCCAUCUGAGUUGUAUCUCUUGAGCAUCUAAACCUAGUUCAAGCCUUCACAGUUGAAAAAUAGUUAUUUUUUUAAUAUUCAUAGGUUGUAUUAUUUAUGGUGCAAUAAUGGGCAGUAUUAUAGAUUAAGAAGAGUAAAGUUAGGAGAGUAGCCCUGCCACCAAUGAGCUGUAUAAACCUGGACA